This 1359-nucleotide ribosomal RNA is filed under the name Marinobacter adhaerens. RNAcentral describes it as "bacterial SSU rRNA". It matches the Rfam family "Bacterial small subunit ribosomal RNA", at positions 85 to 1440 of the family's 1533-position model. The record is from RNAcentral. Lineage: Bacteria; Pseudomonadati; Pseudomonadota; Gammaproteobacteria; Pseudomonadales; Marinobacteraceae.
CCGCUGACGAGCGGCGGACGGGUGAGUAAUGCAUAGGAAACUGCCCAGUAGUGGGGGAUAGCCCGGGGAAACCCGGAUUAAUACCGCGUACGCCCUUCGGGGGAAAGCAGGGGAUCUUCGGACCUUGCGCUAUUGGAUGUGCCUAUGUCGGAUUAGCUAGUUGGUGGGGUAAAGGCCUACCAAGGCGACGAUCCGUAGCUGGUCUGAGAGGAUGAUCAGCCACAUCGGGACUGAGACACGGCCCGAACUCCUACGGGAGGCAGCAGUGGGGAAUAUUGGACAAUGGGGGCAACCCUGAUCCAGCCAUGCCGCGUGUGUGAAGAAGGCUUUCGGGUUGUAAAGCACUUUCAGUGAGGAGGAAAACUCUGCGACUAAUACUCGUAGGGCUUGACGUUACUCACAGAAGAAGCACCGGCUAACUCCGUGCCAGCAGCCGCGGUAAUACGGAGGGUGCAAGCGUUAAUCGGAAUUACUGGGCGUAAAGCGCGCGUAGGUGGUUUGAUAAGCGAGAUGUGAAAGCCCCGGGCUUAACCUGGGAACGGCAUUUCGAACUGUCAGGCUAGAGUAUGGUAGAGGAGAGUGGAAUUUCCUGUGUAGCGGUGAAAUGCGUAGAUAUAGGAAGGAACACCAGUGGCGAAGGCGGCUAUCUGGACCAAUACUGACACUGAGGUGCGAAAGCGUGGGGGAGCAAACAGGAUUAGAUACCCUGGUAGUCCACGCCGUAAACGAUGUCUACUAGCCGUUGGGACUCUUGAAGUCUUAGUGGCGCAGCUAACGCACUAAGUAGACCGCCUGGGGAGUACGGCCGCAAGGUUAAAACUCAAAUGAAUUGACGGGGGCCCGCACAAGCGGUGGAGCAUGUGGUUUAAUUCGACGCAACGCGAAGAACCUUACCUGGCCUUGACAUGCAGAGAACUUUCCAGAGAUGGAUUGGUGCCUUCGGGAACUCUGACACAGGUGCUGCAUGGCCGUCGUCAGCUCGUGUCGUGAGAUGUUGGGUUAAGUCCCGUAACGAGCGCAACCCCUAUCCCUAGUUGCUAGCAGUUCGGCUGAGAACUCUAGGGAGACUGCCGGUGACAAACCGGAGGAAGGUGGGGAUGACGUCAGGUCAUCAUGGCCCUUACGGCCAGGGCUACACACGUGCUACAAUGGUGCGCACAGAGGGCUGCAAACCCGCGAGGGGGAGCCAAUCUCACAAAACGCAUCGUAGUCCGGAUCGCAGUCUGCAACUCGACUGCGUGAAGUCGGAAUCGCUAGUAAUCGUGAAUCAGAAUGUCACGGUGAAUACGUUCCCGGGCCUUGUACACACCGCCCGUCACACCAUGGGAGUGGAUUGCACCAGAAGUGGUUAGUCUAACC